GACGAAGGGGGCUAGCGUUGUUCGGAAUUACUGGGCGUAAAGCGCGUGUAGGCGGUUUCCCAAGUCGGGUGUGAAAGCCUUGAGCUCAACUCAAGAACUGCCUUUGAUACUGAAGAUCUUGAGUUCGGGAGAGGUGAGUGGAACUGCGAGUGUAGAGGUGAAAUUCGUAGAUAUUCGCAAGAACACCAGUGGCGAAGGCGGCUCACUGGCCCGAUACUGACGCUGAGGCACGAAAGCGUGGGGAGCAAACAGG
This 253-nucleotide ribosomal RNA is filed under the name uncultured bacterium. RNAcentral describes it as "partial 16S ribosomal RNA". It matches the Rfam family "Bacterial small subunit ribosomal RNA", at positions 524 to 776 of the family's 1533-position model. The record is from RNAcentral.